This 978-nucleotide ribosomal RNA is filed under the name uncultured Ascomycota. RNAcentral describes it as "eukaryotic LSU rRNA". It matches the Rfam family "Eukaryotic large subunit ribosomal RNA", at positions 1 to 992 of the family's 3401-position model. Lineage: Eukaryota; Fungi; Ascomycota. The record is from RNAcentral.
CGUUUGACCUCGGAUCAGGUAGGGAUACCCGCUGAACUUAAGCAUAUCAAUAAGCGGAGGAAAAGAAACCAACAGGGAUUGCCCUAGUAACGGCGAGUGAAGCGGCAACAGCUCAAAUUUGAAAUCUGGCUCUUUUAGAGUCCGAGUUGUAAUUUGCAGAGGGCGCUUUGGCUUUGGCAGCGGUCCAAGUUCCUUGGAACAGGACGUCACAGAGGGUGAGAAUCCCGUACGUGGUCGCUAGCUAUUGCCGUGUAAAGCCCCUUCGACGAGUCGAGUUGUUUGGGAAUGCAGCUCUAAAUGGGAGGUAAAUUUCUUCUAAAGCUAAAUAUUGGCCAGAGACCGAUAGCGCACAAGUAGAGUGAUCGAAAGAUGAAAAGCACUUUGGAAAGAGAGUCAAACAGCACGUGAAAUUGUUGAAAGGGAAGCGCUUGCAGCCAGACUUGCUUGCAGUUGCUCAUCCGGGCUUUUGCCCGGUGCACUCUUCUGCAGGCAGGCCAGCAUCAGUUUGGGCGGUGGGAUAAAGGUCUCUGACACGUUCCUUCCUUCGGGUUGGCCAUAUAGGGGAGACGUCAUACCACCAGCCUGGACUGAGGUCCGCGCAUCUGCUAGGAUGCUGGCGUAAUGGCUGUAAGCGGCCCGUCUUGAAACACGGACCAAGGAGUCUAACAUCUAUGCGAGUGUUUGGGUGUCAAGCCCGAGCGCGUAAUGAAAGUGAACGGAGGUGGGAACCCGCAAGGGUGCACCAUCGACCGAUCCUGAAGUUUACGGAAGGAUUUGAGUAAGAGCAUGGCUGUUGGGACCCGAAAGAUGGUGAACUAUGCUUGAAUAGGGUGAAGCCAGAGGAAACUCUGGUGGAGGCUCGCAGCGGUUCUGACGUGCAAAUCGAUCGUCAAAUUUGGGCAUAGGGGCGAAAAAACUAAUCGAACUAUCUAGUAGCUGGUUCCUGCCGAAGUUUCCCUCAGGAUAGCAGUAACGUAU